Pieris brassicae (large cabbage white) is the source of this 328-nucleotide long non-coding RNA. RefSeq lists it as uncharacterized. The record is from RefSeq and is a predicted model, not a curated record. The transcript has 2 exons. NCBI's taxonomy places the organism in Eukaryota, Metazoa, Arthropoda, Insecta, Lepidoptera, Pieridae.
CAGAUGUAACUGAAUAAAUUUGCAAUUUUAAAGAUUUAAGGAAUUUACCAGGCACAUUAAAUGCCAUUGUCAGCAAAAUUUAGACGCGAAAUGUUAACAGCAAUGAAAACAGCAAAGAAAAAGAAGGAACAAAAUGGAUCUGAUGAAACAGAAGAGAUUGGUAAUGAUGAUAUUGUUAGAAGCGAAUCGAUUCUAUCAAAACCUGUUGAAUCGGCACAGCCCCUAGCUAUAGAAGAAACAUCUAACGAAAAGAACAUAGAGUCAACGAAAAAGUGAUUUGUUAUUUUGAAGUAAUUAGUAUGAGUAAAUGUUAUAGUUACAUUUGUUA